This 225-nucleotide long non-coding RNA is filed under the name Elaeis guineensis (African oil palm). RNAcentral describes it as "long non-coding RNA (EGUI_LNC077803)". Lineage: Eukaryota; Viridiplantae; Streptophyta; Magnoliopsida; Arecales; Arecaceae. The record is from RNAcentral.
CAGUAAUAGUGCAGUCUUUCUAGAAAAAGAGUUCUUUGGGAAAGAAACGAAUUCCUGAAUGAUUGAACUUGAUGAAGUUCGAUCGGUAGAAGAAUCGAUACAAUCUAGUAAACCCAUAGAGUCAGACUUGAUUAGAUCAAAUCUAAAAUCUAUUGUAGAAACAUCUUUAAGAAGAUCUGGUAGAGUACCGUAUCAACUGGAUAGAUACUAUGAUUUCUUGAUCCG